This 479-nucleotide ribosomal RNA is filed under the name uncultured bacterium. RNAcentral's name for it is "bacterial SSU rRNA". It matches the Rfam family "Bacterial small subunit ribosomal RNA", at positions 17 to 507 of the family's 1533-position model. The record is from RNAcentral.
UCCUGGCUCAGAGUGAACGCUGGCGGCGUGCUUAACACAUGCAAGUCGAACGAGAACGGAUUAUAGCUUGCUAUAAUUGUCAGCUAAGUGGCGCACGGGUGAGUAAUAUAUAGGUAACGUGCCCUAGAGAGGGGGAUAACAGUUGGAAACGAUUGCUAACACCCCAUAUGCCUUUAUCCCAUAAGGGAGCAAGGGAAAUAUUUAUAGCUCUAGGAUCGGCCUGUACAGUAUCAGUUAGUUGGUGAGGUAAUGGCUCACCAAGACAAUGACGCUUAACUGGUUUGAGAGGAUGAUCAGUCACACUGGAACUGAGACACGGUCCAGACUCCUACGGGAGGCAGCAGUGGGGAAUAUUGCACAAUGGACGAAAGUCUGAUGCAGCAACGCCGCGUGGAGGAUGACACAUUUCGGUGCGUAAACUCCUUUUAUAUAGGAAGAUAAUGACGGUACUAUAUGAAUAAGCACCGGCUAACUCCGUG